Long non-coding RNA from Passer domesticus (house sparrow), 1183 nucleotides. RefSeq lists it as uncharacterized. Lineage: Eukaryota; Metazoa; Chordata; Aves; Passeriformes; Passeridae. The transcript is spliced from 3 exons. The record is from RefSeq and is a predicted model, not a curated record.
ACCUGUUCAGCCUUGGGCUUGAUUUAAUAGGGAAGAGCAGAUAAAUUCAGUGUGAGAUUACUGCUGAAUCACUCACAAGGUUUCUGCAGUCUUUUAUGGAUGCAUAUGCAUAAUUUUUGAAUGAGACCAAAUUAAGAAGAAAGUGGGAGAAGGUUUGAGCCAUCUUUCAACACUGAGCUAUCUAGAUUUCUAGAUAAUGUCUGGGACACAAGAGAAUGUAGUGUGAAGGACUCUGCACAGCAUUGCCACAAGCUGUCAACAGCAGGAGAGAGGGAUUUGGCAGUGAUCCCACAACCUAGCUGGGGAGCUGAAUGUUCAAGACCUAUUAAGAGUCUGGUGCAGCCAAGGCAGAGGUGGUGACCACCAGGAUGAAGACAGAGCCAUCUCUUCUGCUCUUGCAUCCGUUUAAAGUGUCUUUGACCAGUUACUCCUGCUAGCUGACUUUUUUUUAACCACAGAAGCACACUCAGCAGAAACUUUUACUGCACCUAGAACACUGAUUUUUAAUUGCCUGCUUAUUAUUAACUUCAUCUAAAUGGUCAUUGUUCAACUUGUCAGCAAAAAUUUCCUGUGGCAAGGAAGUGGAAAGCAGUUGGCUGCUCUCUGGAAGUCUUUGAUAUUUAUAAAACCUGACCUGGAUUUUCCAACUAAGUUGGCUGAAAAAUAUUUUCCAUUUCCCAAGAGGAGUUUCAUUGUAUUUGAUAACCACAUUUAGGACUUCCUCUAAAGUAUCCUUGAUUGAAAAGCAUCUGCAAAUAAAUCUGUGUCCCCAGAAAGAGUUUAAGAUUGCCUUAACCUUCUUUUAAGUGCAAAGAUUAAUGAGACCAUCAGAGAUCACACAGGAUACAGAAUUCAGUCCCUACAAAGGAAGAUGUGAUGAUGGACUAUAUCUCUCCUACAACUGCCCUGCAGUGCUUUGCAGCCCUUUCCAGCUUGUUGCAAAUGGCAUUUAGGAUCAGCCAUCCAUAAAUCACCAAUACCAUCAAAAGCCCAUGAAAACAUCGAUUUGCUCACCAUGAAAAUUUCUAAGCUUUGCUGUAAGGCAGGGUCAGAAUGUUCUGGUUUUAAUAAAUAAGCAUUGAGUAAAAGAGAAGUUUUCACUUCUUGUUCAGUAUUAGUUACAGAAAACACCUUUUCUGCCCCUUUCCUGUUUGAAAAUUCUCACUUGUACAUUUGCUCUGGA